Molecule: small nuclear RNA, 107 nt
Organism: Erinaceus europaeus (western European hedgehog)
Lineage: Eukaryota; Metazoa; Chordata; Mammalia; Eulipotyphla; Erinaceidae
Source: Ensembl
GUGCUUGUUUCAGGAGCACAUAUACCAAAAUUGAAAUGAUACAGAGAAGAUUAGGAUGGCCCCUGUGCAAGGAUGACAUGCAAAUUUGUGAAGUGUUCCAUAUAUUU